RNAcentral lists this ribosomal RNA (792 nucleotides) under uncultured Nitrosopumilales archaeon. Its description in RNAcentral is "bacterial SSU rRNA". It matches the Rfam family "Archaeal small subunit ribosomal RNA", at positions 85 to 879 of the family's 1478-position model. The record is from RNAcentral. Lineage: Archaea; Thermoproteati; Nitrososphaerota; Nitrososphaeria; Nitrosopumilales.
ACKGCUCAGUAACACGUAGUCAACCUAACUCGUGGACGUGGAUAACCUCGGGAAACUGAGAAUAAACCACGAUAGAUCAUAGUGCCUGGAAUGGCUUAUGGUCCAAACAGUUUACUGCCAUGGGAUGGGACUGCGGCCUAUCAGCUUGUUGGUGAGGUAAUGGCCCACCAAGGCGAUUACAGGUACGGGCUCUGAGAGGAGAAGCCCGGAGAUGGGUACUGAGACACGGACCCAGGCCCUAUGGGGCGCAGCAGGCGAGAAACCUUAGCAAUGUGCGAAAGCACGACUGGGUCAGUCCGAGUGAUUCCUGAUAAAGGAGUCUUUUGCUUGUCCUAAAAGCACAGGUGAAUAAGGGGUGGGCAAGUCUGGUGUCAGCCGCCGCGGUAAUACCAGCACCUCGAGUGGUCAGGACGUUUAUUGGGCCUAAAGCAUCCGUAGCCGGCUCUGCAAGUCUUCGGUUAAAUCCACCUUCGCCACAGAUGGGCCGCUGGAGAUACUACAAAGCUAGGGAGUGGGAGAGGCAGACGGUAUUCUCGGGGUAGGGGUAAAAUCCUAUAAUCCCGGGAAGACCACCAGUGGCGUAGGCGGUCGGCUAGCACGCGCUCGACGGUGAGGGACGAAAGCUGGGGGAGCGAACCGGAUUAGAUACCCGGGUAGUCCCAGCUGUAAACGAUGCUGGCUAGGUGUUGAAGCGGCUACGAGCCGCUUCAGUGCCGCAGGGAAGCCAUUAAGCCAGCCGCCUGGGGAGUACGGCCGCAAGGCUGAAACUUAAAGGAAUUGGCGGGGGAGCAC